CAGACAAUGGGGAUGAAAGAAAGAGUGAUGUUGAAUAGGAUAGUGUGUUGUAAAGAGAAGCCAACUAGAGGCAGAUGUCAUCUAUGGGAUAAGUGUCUACUUUAACAAGUGGCACCUGCAACAUUGUACAGGGGUUCAGCUAUACAGGCCCAUGAUGAAAAAUGAAAUUGACUCCUACAGGAUCCCUGUGG
Molecule: long non-coding RNA, 191 nt
Organism: Micropterus dolomieu (smallmouth bass)
Lineage: Eukaryota; Metazoa; Chordata; Actinopteri; Centrarchiformes; Centrarchidae
Exons: 2
Source: RefSeq, a predicted model, not a curated record